UAAUACGGAGGGGGCCAGCGUUGUUCGGAAUUAUUGGGCGUAAAGGGCGCGUAGGCGGUUCGGCAAGUCAGUCGUGAAAUCCCUCGGCUCAACCGAGGAACUGCGUCUGAAACUGCCGAACUCGAGUCCCGGAGAGGGUAGCGGAAUUCCCAGUGUAGCGGUGAAAUGCGUAGAUAUUGGGAGGAACAUCAGUGGCGAAGGCGGCUACCUGGACGGGUACUGACGCUGAGGCGCGAAAGCGUGGGGAGCAAACAGGAUUAGAUACCCUGGUAGUCCACGCUGUAAACGAUGGGCACUUGGUGUUGCGGGUAUCGACCCCUGCAGUGCCGAAGCUAACGCAUUAAGUGCCCCGCCUGGGGAGUACGGUCGCAAGGCUG
RNAcentral lists this ribosomal RNA (377 nucleotides) under uncultured bacterium. RNAcentral's name for it is "bacterial SSU rRNA". It matches the Rfam family "Bacterial small subunit ribosomal RNA", at positions 521 to 896 of the family's 1533-position model. The record is from RNAcentral.